This is a long non-coding RNA of Cervus elaphus (red deer), 331 nucleotides long. RefSeq lists it as uncharacterized. The record is from RefSeq and is a predicted model, not a curated record. NCBI's taxonomy places the organism in Eukaryota, Metazoa, Chordata, Mammalia, Artiodactyla, Cervidae. The transcript is spliced from 3 exons.
GCGGAGGGGUGAAGGGGCUGGGGCGGGAGGAGCAUUCUGACGCUUGCGCGCUGAGUAGGAAUCGGAGGCUACUUGCGUGGAGUCUCAGAGGCACAGCUGUAGUUCCGGCAAAGCAGUGAGUCAAAUGCUGAGGAACUAGACUGUCACAUGGCAACCUCAAGGCAACACACUAAAGGAAGGAAAAAGGCAACCCAUACUCCUCAAUUGGAAAGUGCCUUUAGAAAUAGACAUUAUGGAGUUCCCUGGUGGUCUGGUGGUUAAGAAUCUGCCGGCCACUGUAGGGGACACAGGCUUGAUCCCUGGCCCGGGAAGAUCCCACAUGCCACAGAAC